UACAGAGGGUGCGAGCGUUAAUCGGAAUUACUGGGCGUAAAGCGUGCGUAGACGGUUGCGUAAGUCGGAUGUGAAAUCCCCGGGCUCAACCUGGGAAUUGCAUUCGAGACUGCGUAGCUGGGGUGCGGAAGAGGGAAGCGGAAUUUCCGGUGUAGCGGUGAAAUGCGUAGAUAUCGGAAGGAACAUCAGUGGCGAAAGCGGCUUCCUGGUCCAGCACCGACGUUCAGGCACGAAAGCGUGGGGAGCAAACAGG
This 253-nucleotide ribosomal RNA is filed under the name uncultured bacterium. RNAcentral describes it as "partial 16S ribosomal RNA". It matches the Rfam family "Bacterial small subunit ribosomal RNA", at positions 524 to 776 of the family's 1533-position model. The record is from RNAcentral.